Molecule: ribosomal RNA, 440 nt
Filed under: uncultured bacterium
Lineage: Bacteria
Description: partial 16S ribosomal RNA
Rfam family: Bacterial small subunit ribosomal RNA
Source: RNAcentral
CCUACGGGCGGCAGCAGUGGGGAAUAUUGCACAAUGGGGGAAACCCUGAUGCAGCGACGCCGCGUGAGUGAAGAAGUAUUUCGGUAUGUAAAGCUCUAUCAGCAGGGAAGAAAAUGACGGUACCUGACCAAGAAGCCCCGGCUAACUCCGUGCCAGGAGCCGCGGUAAUACGUAGGGGGCAAGCGUUAUCCGGAUUUACUGGGUGUAAAGGGAGCGUAUACGGUUGUGCAAGUCUGGAGUGAAAGUCGGGGGCCCAACCCCCGGACUGCUGUGGAAACUGGACGGCUGGAGUGCAGGAGAGGUAGGUGGAAUGCGUGGUGUAGCGGUGAAAUGCGUAGAUAUCAUGAAGAACGCCGAUGGCGAAGGCAGCUUACCGGAGUGCAACUGACGUUGAGGCUCGAAAGCGUGGGGAUCAAACAGGAUUAGAUACCCUGGUAGUC